Molecule: ribosomal RNA, 424 nt
Filed under: uncultured Methanomassiliicoccaceae archaeon
Lineage: Archaea; Methanobacteriati; Thermoplasmatota; Thermoplasmata; Methanomassiliicoccales; Methanomassiliicoccaceae
Description: bacterial SSU rRNA
Rfam family: Archaeal small subunit ribosomal RNA
Source: RNAcentral
UUCCUACGGGGGGCUGCAGUCGCGAAAACUUCACAAUGGGGGAAACCCCGAUGAGGGAAUUCCAAGUGCCAGCACAUUGUGUUGGCUGUUCUCCUGUCUAAAAAACAGGAGAAGUAAGGGCCGGGUAAGACGGGUGCCAGCCGCCGCGGUAAUACCCGCGGCCCGAGUGGUGGUCGAUAUUAUUGAGCCUAAAACGUUCGUAGCCGGUCUUGUAAAUCCUUGGGUAAAUCGGCCAGCUUAACUGUCCGAAGUCCGGGGAGACUGCAAGACUUGGGAUCGGGAGAGGUCAGAGGUACUUCUGGGGUAGGGGUAAAAUCCUGUAAUCCUAGAAGGACCACCGGUGGCGAAGGCGUCUGACUAGAACGAAUUCGACGGUGAGGAACGAAGCCCUGGGGCGCAAACGGGAUUAGAUACCCGGGUAGUC